RNAcentral lists this ribosomal RNA (602 nucleotides) under uncultured fungus. RNAcentral's name for it is "eukaryotic LSU rRNA". The stretch from base 210 to 363 matches the Rfam family "5.8S ribosomal RNA". Lineage: Eukaryota; Fungi. The record is from RNAcentral.
AGUAAAAGUCGUAACAAGGUUUCCGUAGGUGAACCUGCGGAAGGAUCAUUACAGAGUUCAUGCCCUCACGGGUAGAUCUCCCACCCUUGAAUAUUAUACCUUAGUUGCUUUGGCAGGCCGGGGCAACCCCCGGGGCUUCGGCCUUGGUGUGCCUGCCAGAGGAAACAAACUCUGUUUUUAGUGAUGUCUGAGUACUAUAUAAUAGUUAAAACUUUCAACAACGGAUCUCUUGGUUCUGGCAUCGAUGAAGAACGCAGCGAAAUGCGAUAAGUAAUGUGAAUUGCAGAAUUCAGUGAAUCAUCGAAUCUUUGAACGCACAUUGCGCCCCGUGGUAUUCCGCGGGGCAUGCCUGUUCGAGCGUCAUUUCAACCCAUCAAGCUUCGGCUUGGUCUUGGGGCCUGCGAUUCCGCAGCCUCUAAACCCAGUGACGGUGCCUCCGAGCUCUGAGCGUAGUAAUUCUUCUCGCUAUAGGGUCUCGGUGGUGUCUUGCCAGUAACCCCCAAUUUUUUACAGGUUGACCUCGGAUCAGGUAGGGAUACCCGCUGAACUUAAGCAUAUCAAUAAGCGGAGGAAAAGAAACCAACAGGGAUUGCCCCAGUACG